UGGUGAAAAACAAGGACCAUUAUCCCUGUUUGCUCCAGGUGAUCACCAGACAAUAUCAGGACUCACACGUGUGAGUCCUUUCUAGCUCAGCUAGCCCACACCCUUAACCACCAGCUGAACAAAAGAGCCCCAGAGACAGCACUGAACGCAGCGCAGAUCAGCAGAACUUCCCUGCUGACCUCUGUUGUGCCAAAAAACAGACCAAAAGGUCAAUGGAAAAGAUUAGAAGAUGCAGAAACAACUCUGAACACAGUCACCUUCUGUUUGUAAAGGAACCAAAUACAUUCACUGGAAGAAACCUUCUUUAACAAAUGGCACUGGAUGAAGAGAAAAGUCAGUGCCUCCCAAGAAUCGGCCAUGCUAAGACCGGGAAGUUUCAACAAGAAACCAACUAGCCAGCCUUCCUGAUACUUCACUGUGGACUGCAGAUGAAGGAUAAACAAACAACCACUCAUCUUUGCUUGAAAGGCCCACGAGGCCAAAACAGGGCUGAUGACCCACAUGGAGGUAUUAACAAGUCUUAAAUCCUAUUCUCUCAAUAUAGCACAGAGCUAUCACUGAGUUAAUAAAGAUAAAGCCGAUGAAAUAAAGUCUAUGAAAACUUCCCAAGUUUGGUCCUUCCUAGCCAAGUUUGCUUUGGGAGGUGACUGUACUAUCAUCUUCAGUCCUCAAGACUUUUCCCCAUUCUCCAGACCAACUCCUUGCCAUGGAAUCCUCUUCAUGAUUCACUCAGCAGAGCCUCUUCAAAAGGAAAACAAGUUUGCUGACUGGGCUGCCUUUCCUGAGUGGGAGGAGUAAGAGUAGUGCCUUGGUUACCUAUGAAUCAUCAAAAAAAAAGAAAAUACAAGUCAGACCAUGCUCCCUCUUAGCCAACCAUGGCCUAUGAAGACCAGAGCUCUGGUGCAGAAUAUCAUUGGCCCAUCAGUCUCAAGGCCACCUCUCAGUUCCACAUGUACCAUAAGUGCACAAAGUCACCAAACUGAACGCUAUUAAAUUUAUCACUGGUCUGCUUUCUUAGUUAGGGUUUACUAAAAGAACAGAUUUAACAUACAAUAUGAAAUCAAGGGUGUAAGAAUGCAAAGUGCCUGUCUGCAUACUGCAGGGCCGGAAGAGCCAGUUGAAGAUUGAAGGCCUGCAUCUCACCACAGAAUUCAGGAUGAGUCUGUGUUACAAAAAACAAAAGGGUCUGCAUUUGAAAGCUGAAGAGUCUGCACUGGAAGCCUCAAGGAAUUGAAGAUGAACAUCUACGGGAAUGACAAAGACUGGAGCUCCUCAAAGAAAGAAAGGGAAGAUUUAGUUAUUUUCCUCCUCAUUCUGUCUAGGCUAUAAGCCAGUUGGUUGGUGCAACUCACAUCUGAGAUGGAUCUUUCUCCUCAGUUUGGUCUAUGUAUCAAUUAUCCUCAGACACACCCAGCGCUUUUGUAAUCUGCUAGGUAUUUCUUAUUCAAGUCAAGCUGACAUCACAGUGAUCACAUCUGCCUUUUGUAGAAACUGCUGGGAAUUCAUAUUUCUGCCCGUUUCCUAACAUAUGAGCCUUCCUUUCAUCUCUUAAAACAUUUCUGCCCACUCUCACAUCACCAUGCAUCUAAAGAUGUCUAGCCCUCUGCUAUUUUAUGUAUAUUUGUCCUUCAUCCAGAGGCAUUGGUAGCAGAGCCUAACUUCUUGGGAAUGCAUCCCAGCUGUUUCACUUUAAAACAUGGACUCCACUAAUGACAACAACUUGUGGCUCAGUUUCUACAGUUGUUAAAUGAAGAUUUACCACCUUUUCUUCCAAAAUUUCCGUGGGCUUCUAAUUUAUCAGUGUGCAUUCCUGAUCCUAUCUGAACUAUUUCCCACACAGACUCACAUUUGUGGAUCCACAAGCCUGGCCAUCGUGAUAUUCAAGACUCAUUCUUCACUUGGUCUUAUAUACUGCGUAAAAAGUCAUCAAAGUGUAUCUAUUGUUUAUGUCUGGAUACUAUGCUUCAAAAACUAUUUACUUAAAAUUUUUUCAGUUAUGUCACAACUACUUCACUAGACAGGACUUACUUUUUUUACUCUGCUCUCCCCUUCCCUUUAAAGAAUUAUACAUAUACACUUUAAUAAAAAGUAAAAUAAAACAACAAACAAAUGAAAAUUUAAAAUGAUGCAUGCACAUUCUCAGCACCUGGAGACAAUCACUGCUAAAACUUUAGCAGAUGUAUGUCAUCUUUACAAUAAAAUUUAUGUUAAUUGUGUGCUACAA
Cavia porcellus (domestic guinea pig) is the source of this 2224-nucleotide long non-coding RNA. RefSeq lists it as uncharacterized. The transcript has 3 exons. NCBI's taxonomy places the organism in Eukaryota, Metazoa, Chordata, Mammalia, Rodentia, Caviidae. The record is from RefSeq and is a predicted model, not a curated record.